GCGCCCGUAGCUCAACCGGAUAGAGCAGCUGAUUUCUAAUCCGCAGGUUGGGGGUUCGAGUCCUCCCGGGCGCGCCA
RNAcentral lists this transfer RNA (77 nucleotides) under Rhodospirillaceae bacterium. RNAcentral's name for it is "tRNA-Arg". It matches the Rfam family "tRNA". Rfam says of the family: Transfer RNA (tRNA) molecules are approximately 80 nucleotides in length. Their secondary structure includes four short double-helical elements and three loops (D, anti-codon, and T loops). Lineage: Bacteria; Pseudomonadati; Pseudomonadota; Alphaproteobacteria; Rhodospirillales; Rhodospirillaceae. The record is from RNAcentral. RNAcentral also lists the same sequence under 1 other name.